GUCGGCUCGCGAAGCGAGCUGAUCCUUGUUGUCAACGCUGAUUCAUUGCGGAUUCACCGAAGCACAAACUCGUAUGUGUGUUCCUUCACUGGCUGCAAAUAAAUCUUGAUAAAUAAGGCACUUGCAAUAGCCUUAUUUUUAUAAUUUGAAUAAGUUGAUGACAAUAUUGUGUUGGAAACUUUUAUCCUGCAUAUUUAUUACACAAUAACCUUGAAGUUCACCUAAAAGUGUGAAUAGAAUAUUGUAAAUAUUACAUGCGGAUGAAUAUUUGCGAAGGGGCACAUGAAGGGGGUUAUCUCAAAAUACGAAAUUGUAACAAAUUUAAAACUCCCGUAUAAAAGACAUGCGCUGCUUUGGAUUAUUAAAAGGUGUAUAUUAUAUCUUUUUUUCUCGUAAACAAAAAGAAAUUGAGUUUGCUUAUGUAACUAAUAUUGAAACACCCGCAGAAUAAUAUUACGAACAAGUUAACUUUCAUGAUUUUCACCUCACCCUUUUCGCGGGAAGCUGCAGCUGUUGAGUAAAUAGAAUCACGAGGAGAAGUUUUCAAGCUGAGCAGUGCAGUGGAGAUCGUCAGAACUGUGCAACAAAAGAAAUCGCAAGAACUGUAUCAGUUGGAGGAAGAGAUGUAAAAGUCAAAUCUAUAACCUUCAAGGAUGGGACGGGCAAGUGCAAAGUGUAACUUUGGAGAGAGUUUGCCGAGAAAGAAGUGGGUAAAGGCCAACACUUGAAAAUCACUGAUGUUGUUGUACAGACGUACAACAACGAGAAGUCUGUCUCAACAACUGGAAGGACAGAAGUUGAGACCAUGAAAGCUCCAAGUCAACUAAAGCUCACAGAAAACAUCAUGGCUGAUAACAUGGAGGAAAAUGGCCUCAGUCUUAUCAUUGACGACCGGGAAGCAUAUCCAGCGUACAGAAUUUGGUGAAAUUGGUGAGGGGUGUUGAUGAUCAGACUGAAAGAGAUUCUCAGAUCUGUGCGAAAGGUCUUUAUGUACCGGUAAAUUGUCGGAAGAAGAAGAGAUCUUUAAAACCUUCUCUUCAAUUAUAUUGAUUUCUCCUC
This is a long non-coding RNA of Magallana angulata, 1059 nucleotides long. RefSeq lists it as uncharacterized. The record is from RefSeq and is a predicted model, not a curated record. The transcript has 3 exons. NCBI's taxonomy places the organism in Eukaryota, Metazoa, Mollusca, Bivalvia, Ostreida, Ostreidae.